UUUGUGUUCUACCCUUUUAUUUUAUAAUAUUUACAUAAUUAAACCAAGGUCAUUUAAUUAAAUAACAAAAGUUUAGAGUAAAUUUUGUAAUUAAAUCAUAAUAAAAUUAAAAAAUUGGAAAUUAUUAUUUAUUACAUUUAACAAAAUUUCCUAAAAUAUCUCCCUAAUAAACUGAAAAUUUCUUAAAUAUCUUUAAAUGAUCUUAGUUGUUUUUAAAAUUUAUAUUCUUACAUAUAACAUAUGUAUCAUAAUAAUACAAAUUUUUUUCCGCAGAU
Molecule: long non-coding RNA, 275 nt
Filed under: Capsella grandiflora
Lineage: Eukaryota; Viridiplantae; Streptophyta; Magnoliopsida; Brassicales; Brassicaceae
Description: long non-coding RNA (CGRA_LNC001198)
Source: RNAcentral